Molecule: ribosomal RNA, 569 nt
Filed under: Mystus singaringan
Lineage: Eukaryota; Metazoa; Chordata; Actinopteri; Siluriformes; Bagridae
Description: partial 16S ribosomal RNA
Rfam family: Bacterial large subunit ribosomal RNA
Source: RNAcentral
ACAUGUAUAGGAGGUCUUGCCUGCCCAGUGACUAGUUAAACGGCCGCGGUAUUUUGACCGUGCGAAGGUAGCGCAAUCACUUGUCUUUUAAAUGAGGACCUGUAUGAAUGGUGGAACGAGGGCUUAACUGUCUCCCUUCUCAAGUCAAUGAAAUUGAUCUACCCGUGCAGAAGCGGGUAUAAUUAUACAAGACGAGAAGACCCUUUGGAGCUUAAGAUAUAAAAUCAACUAUGUUAAGAAUUCAUUAAAACAAUUAAACUAAAUAGUAACUGAUUACUAUCUUCGGUUGGGGCGACCACGGGAGAAAAUGAAGCUCCCACGUGGACUGGGGUUAUCCCCUAAAACCAAGAGAGACAUCUCUAAGCCACAGAAACAUCUGACCAUAAAAGAUUCCGGCUACACAAGCCCGAUCAACGAAACCAAGUUAACCUAGGGAUUACAGGCGGCAAUCCCCUUCCAGAAUCCAUUAUCGACCAGGGGGUUUACGACCUUCCAUGUUGGAUCAGAACAUCCUAAAUGGUGCCAGCGCUAUUAAGGUUCGUUUGGUCAACGAUUAAAGUCCUACGUGA